RNAcentral lists this long non-coding RNA (357 nucleotides) under Polistes fuscatus (common paper wasp). RNAcentral describes it as "uncharacterized LOC122516455, transcript variant X2". Lineage: Eukaryota; Metazoa; Arthropoda; Insecta; Hymenoptera; Vespidae. The record is from RNAcentral.
AUUCUUUUCCUAUUCCUUUUAAUAUUUUCUUUGCAGAAUAAACUAUGAUGCCAAAUUCCGUCUAAGAGAAGAAGGAAACGAACCUUAGGAGGACUGAGUUAUGGUAAAUGAUAACAAUUCUGACCAAGAGGAAGAGGAUGUGGAUUAGAAGAUGGACCAGAAGUGGACUAAGUUAUGGUAAAUGGUAGUAAAAAAUAAUUAUUUCUAUAAGUAAAUGAAUAUUUUUAAUCAGUUUAUUGUUUCAUAUAACCAUUCCGUCCAAGAGGAGAGGAAAGUGGAUUAGAAGAUGACUAGAAGAGGACAGAGUAAUGGUAAACGAUGCCAUGGAUCAACCAAAAAUUAUAUGCAUUUAUUUUU